UUUGACAUGCUGCUAAGAGGAAGGAAGACAGCUCCUGUGUGGACUCAGAAGACGCAACUGGUUGACUGAAAGUACAUUUAAAAAGUUAUCAGACAGGCUUCUCUACUCCCGAGUGAUGCAAAGUUUUGGAUUACCUGCUAGUCCAGGAGCCAAAGGUGGACCUGGAGUUAAAGACGAGCCUGGUCCCAGAGGUCAUGCCGGCAUGUCCGGUGACCCUUGACCUUUGGGAAGCAAAGGAGAGAGAGGAGCGAUGGGCGUUCCAGGUGCUCAAGGUCUGAGUGGAACCAAAGGAGACAAGGUGUCCCCCAGGGUUGGGUGCUUGGUCCACUUCUCUUCAUUGUACAUGCUCCCCCUCGGUAACAUCAUCCGCCGCCAUCACCUCCAAUUCCACUGCUACGCAGAUGAUGUCCAGCUACAUCUCCACAAAAUCUCUCCACCCUGACCGACUGCCUCACUGAAAUCAAAUCAUGGCUGCACUCCAACUUCCUCAAACUCAACUGACAAAUCUGACAUGCUCAUCGUGGGCCCCAAAUCCCUCACCAAAACUGCUCACAACUCUACUCUGUCCCCAUCCACUCACAUCCGCAACCUCGGAGUCAUUCUGGACAAUAAGCUCUCUUUUCAACACCGGGUCAACCACAUCACAAGAACUGCUUUCUUCCACCUCCAAAAUAUUGCCCGUCUCCGUCCAUCCUUCUCUGCCGCUGAAACCCUGAUCCAUGCCUUCAUCACCUCCACACUUGACUACUGUAACGGCAUCCUCUACGACUCAUCUUGCAAAAUUCUCAAAGUCCAAUACGUUCAAAACUCUGCCGCCCGCCUGCUCAGCCACACCCGCUCCCGUGAGCACAUCACCCCAGUCCUCCAGAAACUCCACUGGCUCCCCAGUCCUCACCGGAUCCACUUUAAAUCCUCCUCCUCACCCACAAAGCCCUCCACAAGCAGGCCCCCUGCUACCUCACCAACCUGCUUCACCUCCAUACCUUCACGCAGCCUCCGCUCCUCUGAUGCCAACCUGCUCUCCCCACCAUGCAGAACCAAGCUUCGGACCUGGGGUGACAGCUUUCUCCAUCGCUGCUCCCACCCUCUGGAACACUCUUCCCAAACCCAUCCGUGACCAGUGUUGGGUGACCCUGACCGCACGGUAGGUGUCCCUGACCGCAUAGUGGGUGUCCCUGACCCCCUGCAGCCGUUCUUGCAGCCUUCUUUUGUCCGCUCGCAGAGACUCUUCCUGCCUCCUGUACUCCGCCAUGUCUCUGGCAUCCUCCAUCACCUCUUGGUGGAGCCGUGUAACGUCCUGUUGAACACAAGUAAAUCCACCCAGCAAUCAUACUGUAUAUAUGGCAAGAUAACUGCAGGAUAUUUCUGUGUAACAGAGGAGUGACUAACUCAUGAAUGUGUGAAAAUAUUUCCCGGUCUUAUUCUUUUAUUUGUGAUUUAGAACAUGACACUGAGUUUGUGUGUUUUUUGGACACAAUAUUUUGGCAUUAAAAAAUGCCACACAUUCUGCUGCAUGUGUGCCUGCUUACCUUUUCUAAGGAAGACUUUAAACAUGGAAGUUGUUCAACAUUAAA
Entelurus aequoreus (snake pipefish) is the source of this 1574-nucleotide RNA transcript. RefSeq lists it as uncharacterized. The transcript is spliced from 7 exons. The record is from RefSeq and is a predicted model, not a curated record. NCBI's taxonomy places the organism in Eukaryota, Metazoa, Chordata, Actinopteri, Syngnathiformes, Syngnathidae.